Long non-coding RNA from Daphnia magna, 3820 nucleotides. RefSeq lists it as uncharacterized. The transcript is spliced from 15 exons. The record is from RefSeq and is a predicted model, not a curated record. Lineage: Eukaryota; Metazoa; Arthropoda; Branchiopoda; Diplostraca; Daphniidae.
GGUAGCUUACGUAACAAAGGGCCCGCCAGUAAUGUUGGCUUUUGUUUUCAUUUAAAAACAAAAGCUUGAUGACUAUCAAAUUGUUUGAUGGUUUUUUACCUAUUGGGGGUUAUAACUAACGCUUUGCUUUGACAUUUCAUACCAGAUGAUAAACUGUACACAUGCCAGUGUGGGCUUUGUGUUCAGAUUUUCUGAGGACAUUGAAUCACGGGUGAUAUGUCGUUACACUCAAAGCUUGAGUAGAGAAUUACAACAGCAGUUCUAAUAUACCAUAUCUGCGUAUUGUAAAACCCAUACGAUUCGCAACUAUUUCUAGUUGCUUAUAGAUUUAUCAUGAAGUACACAUGAACCGCAUUAUGAUAGUGAAUUUCUGGUGGGGCCGUGAAAAAGGAAAGCCAAAGACUCACGCAGUAAGGGCAGGGCUUCAAUUACCCUGUCAAUUGUAUUCACCGAAUGCUCAGCAAAGGCUCGUAAGCUAAACGUGUCGUAGCCAAGAGCCCACUCCAUUUGGCUGCCAAUGGAGUACCUGGCCGCUGAAGGCUGGAAAAGCUGCUCGUUUUAACAAGAAAAUUCCCAUCUCACCCCACGUCAUUUCAUUUGGCCAUUCCUAACGACGAAAAGUUGAACAAGCUUCUUUCUGUUACCAUCGCUGAUGAUGGUAUGCUUCCUCCACGCCGUUUCCCAACCAAAAUGAUCCUUUUAAUGGAAUACCAUACACCUUCGUAUUAAAUAAUCUCUAAAAUGGCCUGCUACUUAUCGAAUGCAAAUAUUAGGACUAUUUUGCGUUGAUUGUCUAUUGGCAAAAUACUAAUGGUCGACGUUUCUUAGUUUAAAUAUCCACAAUGUUUAUUGUAUGAGUUUUUAACAAUGCCUGCAAGACAACCACAACGAAAAAAAUUGUCUUUUCCCAAAUACCAAGUAGGCUAUAGCUGAAUUCUACCCUGUCGCAUUUAAGUACGAGCAUUCUUGUAUCAAGCACAAUACAGUUUUUAAAACGUCUUCAGUCAUUAUCACUAGAUGUCGUUAUGGAAAGACGUCGGGCUGGGAUUUGCGAUUUUGGGAGCGACAUGUGCUGUUCUUCUUGGUUGGUGCUGCAAAUUAUUUACUGGAUUCCUGCUCAUGCAUCUUUCAGCUCAAGCUCAGAGUAGUACAAGAUUGCUGAAGCAACUAAGAGUAAAAUAUAGUGCCGAUAUCAACAGAAGCUUCUGAGUAAUGGUGGAUUUGGGGUCUCACUGAAAUCCAAUUGGUUAACGUUUGUGGCAGAAGUGUGUUGGCUGGGAUAAAAGCAACCCUAACAAUGUUGGAGAUCCCUUUUGUCUUGCGGGAAGCAUUUACAUCUUUCAGGAAAAGAUUCAUGGGCAUGUAAAAAUAGAUUUCGACCGACACUUAAGUACAUCAAGGGAUGAAGGAAAAAGGGAAAGGCUGCCGAAUUGUCGAAUCAAAGAUUUGAUGCAUUAACUUCUGAUAGAUGAUGACACUAGAUAUUCACCUACAUCAUCUUGAAUUUUGAAAACAGUUGAAAACAGGAGAAAGGCAAUCCUAAAUAUCGGAGAUCCCUCUUUAACUCAAUAAAGGUUCAGGUGUCAUAAAUGGAAAAUGUGAUGCAAUUAAAGAAAAAGGUGAUAAGAUAUUGGAUUAGUGUUGGUAGCUGAACCAGUAUGGAAGUUACUUGUUCUUUCUUACCAACUUACUUGUGGACAGAAAUCAGUAAUCCUGAAAGGUGUUUUGAUUGAUCUAAAUUCCAUACAAACUAAUCUGUACUCCUAAUAUUUUGUAACAUGGAAUGCUGAUCAAUUAUCUGUGACGGGGAAUCACCUUGACAGCAUAAAUUGGCAAAAUAUUCCAGUUAAUGAGAAAUAUGUGUGAAGAAAUUUAGCAAAUCCAAUACUCUGGAAUCCUUGGAUAAAGCUCUUUGUGACAUAUGCUAUUCCUGAAAGUGGCAAUAUCCAACCAAAGUCAAGCAAGCAUAUGAACAAACAACUAUGGAAAGCAGUUAACCCAGGAACUAAAUCCAAAGAUAAACCUAUCAUGAAACACUUGCUUUAUAAACACCAUACUGCAUCUAGACACUUCGCCAUUCAACGAUUCUUUUUAAACGAGCUACAUUGGGCUUCAAUUGAAAAAACCUAAAGGAUGCCGUUGAUGACUUUAUCGGUGCCUGAAUCGUUAUGGGGGACAUGUUAUGGCCAUAGAAAAUUCCGCCUUGAGAAGAACAAAGAUGAUGGUGAUGGUUGACACUGUUUUAGCUAUGGGAACCUGAUAUUUGCAGGCCCCUCUUAUCAUCAAAGGGAAUAUUGAUGAUUCAAGUGUCUUUAAAUGUUACUAACAAAAUGUUAAUUGCGUUUUGUUAGUUUAUUGAAUUUUUUGUUUUGUUUUAGAAAUACCAUAAAACUGUCUCCCCACACCCGUACCCGUGAGGUUGCUUUAGCACAUAGAUGUCGUUGCGUUCUUGGACCAACUUGAGCUACGGGAUGGCGGUUGCAUAACUUGUCAAAGCAGCGUGCGUUUUAUUCUGCAUCCAGCUUAUCCAAAACGUUCGAUGGAUUGAAAAUCGAUCCUCCUCAACAUCCAUUGGUAGAUAACUAGUAUGGAAAUUCUGUGUUACCAACUUACUCCUGGAUAGGAAACAGUAGCACUUAAAGAUUGUAGACCGUUGAAUACUGAUCGGAGAUCUGUGGUUGGAAAUGUACUUGACAGCAUAAAUUAGCCAAAUAUCCUUGGAAUGAAAUACGUGUGAAGAAGUUUAGCAAAACCAAAACUCAAAGUUGCAUGACAGAAGUUAUUCCAUAUUCCACCAUUGUUUAUAUGUUUUGUAAUCGUCCAAGUCAACAGCAUGGUUCAUCUUGUUCAUUACUGUAGAAAUUAAGUUUGGACUUUGCUUUGCUAUCAAAUAACUUACUGUUUUGUUCUUUGAAAUUAUUAGGUCACCGUUACGAAGGAGAUUCUUCAAGUACCCGUUAUGCUCAACCAAGUCUUGGUAUGUUGAAAAAUCUGGGCAUCACAUAUUUCAUCAACAGCGUCUUGCAAAUAGAUAAUUCGCCAUUCAACGAUUCUUCUUUGGAAGAGCUGCAGUAGCCCCAAUUAAACAAAAAGAAUCUUCUAGGCAAUCAAAUUGUCGAAUCCAACGAAUGCCGUUUAUAACCUUAUUGGAGUCUGUAGUCGUUAUGGAGGAUUUGCUGCGGGUACAGCAAAGACCGUUUUGCGAAGAACGAGGAUGGUGGUGUUGGCAUUGUUUGGACGAUAGGCCAUAGGGGUAUUCUAGUCUUUACCAGCAGCCGUUUACAAGACGGAACACAAAGGGUCAAUCAGCAAAUUUGCGAAAAUGAUGGGGAUUCGAGUUUAUUGUAACCCAUGAUUGUACGCCUAUCAGUAUUAAUAUCUAUAUUCGUGCUAUGCUUCGUUUAGAGCGUAAAGGAACGCAUUUUGUUGUCUUAUGAUAUCACAAUUGAUGAGGUACUGGUCUUUACUGUACGGAAGGGUAUUGUUUUUUGUUUGUUUUGUUUCGUUUUUUGUUUGUUUGUUUUUUCUUUUCUUCUUCUUUUAACCCCAUUGCAAUUUUAAAAAUGUGACUGUUACGGUUUCGGGGUAGGUAGGUAAAAUCGGGGUUGAAUCGGUGCGAGAACUUGACGAUAAUGUUCUAGUAUAAACCGAUUGUUUGCGUUUGCCUUUGGGGCGAAAAAGUGUCAACCCUAUACGGAAAAUUCUUCCCCGACUUGUGAACCCCAAUUGCCUCGGGUAUUAUUGUAUAUCUAUGCCAUUUUAGCCUCAACUUUGUAUGUAAACGUAUUAUGAACCGACAAUAAAACUUUUUGCAAAAAAA